RNAcentral lists this ribosomal RNA (289 nucleotides) under uncultured Flavobacteriaceae bacterium. Its description in RNAcentral is "partial 16S ribosomal RNA". Lineage: Bacteria; Pseudomonadati; Bacteroidota; Flavobacteriia; Flavobacteriales; Flavobacteriaceae. The record is from RNAcentral.
CUACUGGGGUUUCUAAUCCUGUUCGCUCCCUACGCUCUCGUCCCUCAGCGUCAGUAAUAUCUUAGUAACCUGCCUUCGCUAUUGGUGUUCUAAGUAAUAUCUAUGCAUUUCACCGCUACACUACUUAUUCCAGCUACUUCAAAUAUACUCAAGACUAUCAGUAUCAAUGGCAGUUUCAUAGUUGAGCUAUGAGAUUUCACCACUGACUUAAUAACCCGCCUACGGACCCUUUAAACCCAAUAAGUCCGGAUAACGCUUGCACCCUCCGUAUUACCGCGGCUGCUGGCAC